Molecule: ribosomal RNA, 1240 nt
Filed under: Candidatus Jacksonbacteria bacterium
Lineage: Bacteria; Candidatus Jacksoniibacteriota
Description: bacterial SSU rRNA
Rfam family: Bacterial small subunit ribosomal RNA
Source: RNAcentral
UUUUUUGAGAGUUUGAUCCUAGCUCAGGAUGAACGCUGGCGGCAUGUCUUAGGCAUGCAAGUCGAACGGUUCGGCGCAAGCCGGACAGUGGCAGACGGGAGAGUAACACAUUGGUAAUCUACCCUCGAGUCGGGCAUAACCCUGCGAAAGCGGGGCUAAUUCCCGAUGGUCUUGGCUAACGAAAGUUAGUUAAGUAAAGUUUCGGCGCUCGAGGAGGAGCCUAUGUCCCAUCAGCUUGUUGGUAGGGUAAUGGCCUACCAAGGCNNACUCCUACGGGAGGCUGCAGUCAAGAAUAUUCCGCAAUGGCCGAAAGGCUGACGGAGCAAUGCCGCGUGCCGGAGGAAGCCCUUCGGGGUGUAAACGGCUUUUGCCGGGGAACAAGCCCCGCCCCUUUUCUGACAAGUAUUAUUACUAAUCAAUGGCCAUAAGGCGAAGCCGCCUUACGGCUAUAAUUUUGAUAUUGGUUAUAAAAUUGGUUGAAAAAGGGCGGGGUUGAGCGUACCCGGCGAAUAAGGGGCUGCUAACUUCGUGCCAGCAGCAGCGGUAAUACGAAGGCCCCAAGCGUUAUCCGGAUUUAUUGGGUGUAAAGGGUCCGCAGGCGGUUUGUUAAGUCUCUGUUUAAAUCCCGAUGCUCAACAUCGGAUCGGGCAGAGAUACUGGCAGACUAGAGACCGGGAGAGGCCAGUGGAACGGCUGGUGUAGGGGUAAAAUCCAUUAAUAUCAGCCGGAACACCAAAAGCGAAGGCAGCUGGCUAGAACGGUUCUGACGCUAAGGGACGAAAGCGUGGGUCGCGAACGGGAUUAGAUACCCCGGUAGUCCACGCCCUAAACGAUGGAUACUAGGGAUUGGAAGUAUCGACCCUUCCAGUCUCGCCUCCAACUUAGCUAACGCGUUAAGUAUCCCACCUGGGAAGUACGGCCGCAAGGCUAAAACUCAAANNGGUGCUAGACAGGUGCUGCAUGGUUGUCGUCAGAUCGUGCCGUGAGGUGUACCCUUAAUUGGGGUAACGAUCGCAACCCCUGUCCUAUGUUACAUUUCUCAUAGGAGACUGCCCCUCACCUUGCGCAUAAGCUUAGGCUUGUGAGCAGAGUGAGGGGAGGAAGGCGGGGAUGACGUCAAAUCAGCAUGGCCUUUAUGUCUUGGGCUACACACGUGCUACAAUGGUUAGUACAACGGGCAGCAAAAUCGCAAGAUUGAGCUAAUCCCUUAAAACUAAUCUUAGUUCGGAUUGAGGGCUGC